UAAUAGUAGAUAAUUAUUUUUAUUGAACUAAAAAAAUGUUUCCUAGAAAUUAUAUACCUACAGUCCAAAACGACGUUUUCCGGGUCAGCUAGUAAUAAUAUUUAAACAAAUAUGUAAAAGUUAAUCCUAGGAUUAUCGAGUCACAACAGCUAUUAUAUAUAUGUAGCUAAUUACGAGGCAGGAGAUAAAUGCUCAAAAAGAAGAUUUAAAAAAAAAAUUAAAGACAGCUCGUCUGAUACCAAGAGGUAAGGAGUUCCAAAGCAGAAGACUGCACAGUAAAGGAAGAGUGAUAGAAUAAAUGUAAUAUUAAGUAGAUUAAUAAAAUAAAACUGUUAUUAUUUUUUAUUGUAUUAUUAUUUAACAUAAAAGAUAUAAAGCAGUUUUGGUGUAGUGGUAUCAGCAUGUUAUUCUCAUCCUUAGGGUCGUAGGUUCGAACCCCGGCUGUUUACCAAUGUAAUUUCUGUAUAUUUUUUUAAAAAUCGCUCGUACGGUGGUGUAUAAAAUUGUAAAGAAACCGAGUUGCCAUAUACACAAAAGUCGGCGGGGUAUGUCAGGCACAGAAGGCUCAUCUACGUGCCUAUUUGAUGAACAAAACCAAGGAUCACGAAACAUACAAAAACCUGAAAAGGUUGUAGCGCCACUUAUUUUUUUAUAAAGAAUAAAUCAGAAAAAGAACUUAUCAGCCUGUUAAUAAAGUGAAACAGUUUCGAUUGUAGUUGUACAAUAUUGAUUGAUGCAUGUAGUAAUUUAAACUCGCUAAUUGGUUAAAAAGAAACAUUGUACCAAAGAAAUAAUAAACAUACAGUUUAUUCAUAAAAACUAAAUCAAUUUAAUUUAAUCACCCUUGUUACUAAAGUACUAAUUUGUCUCUUUCUGUCAAAUUGUGGUAAAGCUGUGAUGAAAAGAGAGAUGUGUACUUUAGUCAAAACGAUGCAAUUAGAUAUUUUUUGAAUUGUCUCUUAGGACGAGUUUUAAAUAAUUUUACCAGACUGAGAUCGCGGACGAACCCUGGUCGAGCCUAUAGUGUAGAUCCAGUUAAAAUUAUCUUUUAUCUAGAAAUUCUUACUACGACUUUCGAAAAUACUUCUCACGUAAGUACUUGUCUAAAAUACUGAAUUGAAAUUAUGUAAUUUUUACUUCACUAAAAAUUACUUCAUUUUUCUACGGUCCAUUUAAAACUCAUAAUUAUUCAACAAUAAUUUCUUUUUUUGUUUACAAUUGUUUAUAUAAUUUGUUUUUAUCUGUCUUAUAUUAUUUCUGUUUUCUUAGAAAAAGAGGGGUUUCUUACGUUCGCGUAAAGAAGACGACAGAGGCGUUCAGUAACUCAGUAACUUCCUAGGCGUAGGUGCGACCAGGUCUUCAGCGUAUGUGCCGAAGUCUGCCCGAGAGAGGGAACUUGAUAGAAGAUCAGAUGAUAGCGAUCAGCUUAAAUCGUGGGGAUCGGCAGAUAAUAUACAGGUACUGUCUGCGUGUUAUUGUGUUUAAAAAUUAAAUUUUGUGUACAUGUCUAAUCAAAUGAUACAGUUAUAAUAAUUUUAGUAAAAACAAAUAUUAUGUCUAGGACAUUGUCAAUACAUAAUAUUUUCUGAAACAACGCCAUCUAUGAAUGUAGUAUAUGAUUAGUUCACGUGUCUUAAAUUUCAAAAUUAAUGGUCCAAACUGGCAUCGACAACUUAGUUUAUUCGUUUUCCGCUAGAUGUCUCUAUAUCAAAUUUCUAAACUUACGUAAUAUCCAAUAGAUGUCGCGACUGUUUCUUUUAACUUCGUUUUAACACAGUAAAACUACUUAAUAUACAAAACAGUGUUUGUUCGAACACUUAUAACUCGAGAACGGUAGGAUCGAUUUGAAUGAUUUAUAGAAUAGCAGAAUAACUAUUAAAACAUUGGUUGGUUGAAGAAUAACAUACGAUUCCAUCAUUUAAGGUUCAUUCCGUCGAUCCGGUAAACUCUUCCCUCAUCUGAACAUAUUUAAUUAAAGAUAGUGAUGAGAUAAUGACGUAUUUUAGAUGUAAAAAAUGUAGAAUAAUGUGAGUAAUGAAAGAUGAUCGAUAUACCUAUUUGGCUGACAAAUUUUGUAAUGUUGAGAAGCGCAAUUUGGUGAUAGGGAUUCGGCUUUCAACUAUUACGUCACGCAAUUUUUGGAGAUAAUUGAGCAACGCGCCGUAACGUUUUACUAUACCCAAGUGUAUAAUAAUUGUGUAAAUAUUAUUAUUCAGGCAGAAUGCAGAUGUUAAUGAUAAUUGUCAUCAGACACUAUCAGCAUGUGGCAAACACAAACAUGUCAUGUAUUGAAACGUGUAUCGUGUUAUGGUGGGUGGCCAGGUAAGCGGUUAUUAAAAUAAGACGACAUUACUGUUAUUCAUAAACAUAUAUUCAGCCAUGACAGGCGGUCCGAGACAUACUACAGGAAACGGAAACCCAUAGAUACGUAACAUCUCCCUUAUUAAGAAAAGAAAACAUGGCAUGAAGUGGAACAUAGUACGUACGUAAGUAUACACUUUUGUUUUUUUUUACAUUGACAAAAUUCUUACAUACUAUUAGACUGAAAUAAUGGUACGGAACAUUGACUUGACUGACAUUUUCAAUUUUGACAGUUCUCACAUUGACGUCUACUAAAUUGACAUAACUGUGUUUUGACAGCUACACAAAACAAAAUUAGGUUAAAGACAUUAAACAAUACAUUUACAAACUAAGUACAAAUUAUGAACUUAAUCUAGAUUCUAGACUAAUUACCAAAAUCUUCGGGGCUUUAUGAUAGCUCUGCCGAAUGAAGAAUAAGUUGUGUGGACGAGUUUUAAAUAAUUUUACCAGACUGAGAUCGCGGACGAACCCUGGUCGAGCCUAUAGUGUAGAUCCAGUUAAAAUUAUCUUUUAUCUAGAAAUUCUUACUACGACUUUCGAAAAUACUUCUCACAAAAAGAGGGGUUUCUUACGUUCGCGUAAAGAAGACGACAGAGGCGUUCAGUAACUCAGUAACUUCCUAGGCGUAGGUGCGACCAGGUCUUCAGCGUAUGUGCCGAAGUCUGCCCGAGAGAGGGAACUUGAUAGAAGAUCAGAUGAUAGCGAUCAGCUUAAAUCGUGGGGAUCGGCAGAUAAUAUACAGGUACUGUCUGCGUGUUAUUGUGUUUAAAAAUUAAAUUUUGUGUACAUGUCUAAUCAAAUGAUACAGUUAUAAUAAUUUUAGUAAAAACAAAUAUUAUGUCUAGGACAUUGUCAAUACAUAAUAUUUUCUGAAACAACGCCAUCUAUGAAUGUAGUAUAUGAUUAGUUCACGUGUCUUAAAUUUCAAAAUUAAUGGUCCAAACUGGCAUCGACAACUUAGUUUAUUCGUUUUCCGCUAGAUGUCUCUAUAUCAAAUUUCUAAACUUACGUAAUAUCCAAUAGAUGUCGCGACUGUUUCUUUUAACUUCGUUUUAACACAGUAAAACUACUUAAUAUACAAAACAGUGUUUGUUCGAACACUUAUAACUCGAGAACGGUAGGAUCGAUUUGAAUGAUUUAUAGAAUAGCAGAAUAACUAUUAAAACAUUGGUUGGUUGAAGAAUAACAUACGAUUCCAUCAUUUAAGGUUCAUUCCGUCGAUCCGGUAAACUCUUCCCUCAUCUGAACAUAUUUCAUUAAAGAUAGUGAUGAGAUAAUGACGUAUUUUAGAUGUAAAAAAUGUAGAAUAAUGUGAGUAAUGAAAGAUGAUCGAUAUACCUAUUUGGCUGACAAAUUUUGUAAUGUUGAGAAGCGCAAUUUGGUGAUAGGGAUUCGGCUUUCAACUAUUACGUCACGCAAUUUUUGGAGAUAAUUGAGCAACGCGCCGUAACGUUUUACUAUACCCAAGUGUAUAAUAAUUGUGUAAAUAUUAUUAUUCAGGCAGAAUGCAGAUGUUAAUGAUAAUUGUCAUCAGACACUAUCAGCAUGUGGCAAACACAAACAUGUCAUGUAUUGAAACGUGUAUCGUGUUAUGGUGGGUGGCCAGGUAAGCGGUUAUUAAAAUAAGACGACAUUACUGUUAUUCAUAAACAUAUAUUCAGCCAUGACAGGCGGUCCGAGACAUACUACAGGAAACGGAAACCCAUAGAUACGUAACAUCUCCCUUAUUAAGAAAAGAAAACAUGGCAUGAAGUGGAACAUAGUACGUACGUAAGUAUACACUUUUGUUUUUUUUUACAUUGACAAAAUUCUUACAUACUAUUAGACUGAAAUAAUGGUACGGAACAUUGACUUGACUGACAUUUUCAAUUUUGACAGUUCUCACAUUGACGUCUACUAAAUUGACAUAACUGUGUUUUGACAGCUACACAAAACAAAAUUAGGUUAAAGACAUUAAACAAUACAUUUACAAACUAAGUACAAAUUAUGAACUUAAUCUAGAUUCUAGACUAAUUACCAAAAUCUUCGGGGCUUUAUGAUAGCUCUGCCGAAUGAAGAAUAAGUUGUGUGAAAAAGAGGGGUUUCUUACGUUCGCGUAAAGAAGACGACAGAGGCGUUCAGUAACUCAGUAACUUCCUAGGCGUAGGUGCGACCAGGUCUUCAGCGUAUGUGCCGAAGUCUGCCCGAGAGAGGGAACUUGAUAGAAGAUCAGAUGAUAGCGAUCAGCUUAAAUCGUGGGGAUCGGCAGAUAAUAUACAGGUACUGUCUGCGUGUUAUUGUGUUUAAAAAUUAAAUUUUGUGUACAUGUCUAAUCAAAUGAUACAGUUAUAAUAAUUUUAGUAAAAACAAAUAUUAUGUCUAGGACAUUGUCAAUACAUAAUAUUUUCUGAAACAACGCCAUCUAUGAAUGUAGUAUAUGAUUAGUUCACGUGUCUUAAAUUUCAAAAUUAAUGGUCCAAACUGGCAUCGACAACUUAGUUUAUUCGUUUUCCGCUAGAUGUCUCUAUAUCAAAUUUCUAAACUUACGUAAUAUCCAAUAGAUGUCACGACUGUUUCUUUUAACUUCGUUUUAACACAGUAAAACUACUUAAUAUACAAAACAGUGUUUGUUCGAACACUUAUAACUCGAGAACGGUAGGAUCGAUUUGAAUGAUUUAUAGAAUAGCAGAAUAACUAUUAAAACAUUGGUUGGUUGAAGAAUAACAUACGAUUCCAUCAUUUAAGGUUCAUUCCGUCGAUCCGGUAAACUCUUCCCUCAUCUGAACAUAUUUAAUUAAAGAUAGUGAUGAGAUAAUGACGUAUUUUAGAUGUAAAAAAUGUAGAAUAAUGUGAGUAAUGAAAGAUGAUCGAUAUACCUAUUUGGCUGACAAAUUUUGUAAUGUUGAGAAGCGCAAUUUGGUGAUAGGGAUUCGGCUUUCAACUAUUACGUCACGCAAUUUUUGGAGAUAAUUGAGCAACGCGCCGUAACGUUUUACUAUACCCAAGUGUAUAAUAAUUGUGUAAAUAUUAUUAUUCAGGCAGAAUGCAGAUGUUAAUGAUAAUUGUCAUCAGACACUAUCAGCAUGUGGCAAACACAAACAUGUCAUGUAUUGAAACGUGUAUCGUGUUAUGGUGGGUGGCCAGGUAAGCGGUUAUUAAAAUAAGACGACAUUACUGUUAUUCAUAAACAUAUAUUCAGCCAUGACAGGCGGUCCGAGACAUACUACAGGGCAGCAGCCAACUAGUUUUAGCUGGAGAGCUAGUGAACCCUGGGAGUAACGGUCUCCCUGUAAGGUUAGAAAUUUGUAUACUUACGAUUUAUGACCUGCUAAGAGCAAUAGCCAUGACCUGGCAGGCGUCAGCCCUGCACGUCAUCAGCCCCUUUAUUUUUUGGACUGUUAAGUAAAUUGAGUUUCAAAACUUGUUUCUGUAAAUUUGAAAAUUUAAUAGGAUAUAGUUUAUUUAUUGUACAUCUUAAAAAAAAAUUGACAGGCGAUUACAAUAAGCAGAAGUAUAUGACAGAUCAAUUAGAAAACGUAAAGUUGAUGAGGUAAAAUAAACUUUAUCCUGUAUACUUAAAAUUUUUAUAUGUUUUCAAGUAAACGUCUCAGAGUAAAUAUGUACAAUGCCAGGCGGUUUUGAACAGCAUAAGACCUUGACAGGCGUCAGGCGUUAAGGGCGUGCGAGUGAGAGGUGUUGCGUGAAUGCCUAUAGUGCGAGUGAGACCGUUUAUCUAAUACGAAGGGACGUAUACCUGCUCUCGAGCAACAAUGUACAGAGAAGAAUUUCGUCAGUUGUGCCAAUGAUUUUUACUUGUGAAGAUGCUUUGAGCUAUAACAUUCUUAUGUUGAGUGAUUUCGAAUUUUUAAAAAAUCAAACUAAAGUUUUUUUUUUUUUAAAUUAAAUAUUAUUAUCAAUUGUACAGUGAUAUUGUGUAUUGUUGUACUUAAUAUUAACAUUUCAGUAAAUAGUGAACAAGAUGGAAUUGGAACACGUGGUUUGUGUGAUUUGUAACGAAGACACUGACGAAAAAACUGUACGAUUUACAGAGACUACGUUGAAUAAAAGUAAAUCAAAGUAGUGAGCUAUGAUUCAUCGAAUUUACCACCCUGCAAACGUGAACUACAUCAACAAUUAUUGAGAACUGCCUACAUUACAAAUAUAUGGCGAAAUUGUAAUUUAAAAGAACCAACAAUUCUUACACCUGAAAAUAACGGUUGGAACUUAAUUGAUAGUCGUUACGAAUUUAAUUGGUUUGAGGGGAAUACGGUUCCAUCUUCUAUAUACGACAUACUUUUACAAGGACCUGCUGAUACUGCCACAGCACAAUCGACUGAAACUGAGGAAUGCAUUUCAGAUGAGGAGAACAUUGUUAAAGAAUCAGAUGAUGAUGAAAACAGUGAUAGCGAAAUUUCGGAUGAUGCUGAAGAAAAUGAAUGUUAAAAAUAAUGUAGAUUGCAUAAAACCCAAUAAAAUACAUUGCAUUUACUGUAUGCGUUCAUGUAACAUUUCUUAUUUGCACGCCCUUAGCAGCUGUCCCCUCGCCUGUCAAGGUCUUAUGCUGUUCAAAACCGCCUGGCAUUGUACAUAUUUACUCUGAGACGUUUACAUGAAAACAUAUAAAAAUUUUAAGUAUCCAGGAUAAAGUUUAUUUUACCUCAUCAACUUUACGUUUUCUAAUUGAUCUGUCAUAUACUUCUGCUUAUUGUAAUCGCCUGUCAAUUUUUUUUAAAGAUGUACAAUAAAUAAACUUUAUCCUAUUAAAUUUUCAAAUUUACAGAAACAAGUUUUGAAACUCAAUUUACUUAACAGUCCAAAAAAUAAAGGGGCUGAUGACGUGCAGGGCUGACGCCUGCCAGGUCAUGGCUAUUGCUCUUAGCAUGUCAUAAAUCGUAAGUAUACAAAUUUCUAACCUUACAGGGAGACCGUUACUCCCAGGGUUCACUACCUCUUGGACCAUUUAAUUAAUCGUUCAAUCUGUUGAUUUAGUUAAGAAGCCUAUAGUUAAACGGCGCUGUUUAGUUAAGAGGCUAUGCUGUUAAUAGAUCGGCUUAUUAAGCUACUUGGCUGCGACAUAUACGUAAGAUUUAAGUAUAUUUUUUUGAAGUCUUUUUCAUUCUUUGCGUUCCUUUGAAUAGCAAACAAUGAGGAAAAAUGGGUUUUCAGGAAUGAAACUCAAUGCCCUGAGGUUAUAUUUACGUAUUAAAUUUCAGGUUUUCCGCGUUCGUCAGACCUACAGUGCCAUAGGCGAUCGCAUACGGGAGAAAAACCUUGUAUUUGCGGCGUUUGUGGGAAAGGUGAUUUCAACAUUUUAAAAACAAUUUCAUCAGGCUUCAGCCGUAGCAACAAGCUCUCUCGACAUAUGCGCGUCCAUACGGGCGUUAAGCCAUACAAAUGUGUGUAUUGUGAAAAGGCGUUUUCUCAAAGCAACGAUCUCAAUCUACAUGUCCGACGACACACCGGCGACAAACCCUACGUCUGUGAGCUGUGCGGCGAGCGGUUUAUACAGGGGACAGCACUGCAUAACCACCGUCGAGCCCACGGACACUAUAGUGAAACAGUCCCACCACCAGCCCCGCCCCUUUACUCCGUCGUGCCCAUUCUCCAUACAUCAUCAACUCUGUGAAGAACGGCCAGUAAAACGACAUAAUCAGUAUUACGUGUUACAAUAUUAAUUUAAACUUUACGUAAUAAGAUACUAUAAUAAUUUUAUUCAUUUUAGCAUAGGCAUUGGAUUUUAUUCUUAGUGCAACAGUGCCCAUCCUUUUUUUUAUGUAAUAGGAGGCAAACGUAUAGAAGGCUCAUCUGAUGUUAAGUGAUACCGCCGCCCAUGGACAGUUACAUUGCCAGAAUUCUCGCAAGUACCUUCAAGAAUCGGUACGCUCUUUUCUUGAAGGACCCUAAGUCAAAUUGGUUCGGAAAUACAUCAGCGGGCAGCUGGUUUCACAUAGUGGUGGUGCGCGAUAGAAACUGCGGAUCGUCGAGGUGAUACGGAUGGUAUUUUGUAUUCUGCCUUGACGUCCGAUGAUGAAACUCAGCUGCAGGUAUUAGAUCAUGCGGUAGAAGAUGCAGAAAGACUACAAAUCUUCACGCACCGCCAAGGGAUUAAGCCGCCCGGAAAGUGACUGGUCGUCGACGAUUGAAAUCGCUAUUGCCCUUGCCUUCAGUCAGGCCGCUUAAGCCCCUUAAGGAGCCUUUUGACGUGACAACGUCUUAUAAUUCGCUGGAGCCGGCUGCACGCACGAAAAAACAUGACUCAUGCGGCGUUACCUCCCUCUGAGGCGUUCCAUUUAAGGCUUGAAGUGCAAGCGAGAGCGCGGAACGAGUGACAAAGAGGCACAAAAAAUGCAACCAUUCCAUCAGUAUUUUCUUAUGACGUUGUCACGUUCACAACUAUUGUCUGUAAACCGACUUUGUAAACUUUGGUCUGUAGACCACCGAUUUUUUUUGUUGCUUAAUAAGAAGUGACGUUUUACCGCCACUAUAUAGUCGUCAGAGACUCAGCAGCAGUAGCAGCAGCUGACUUGUCGUCAGUAUUACAAUUUGAAAUAUAUAAAUAAAAAUUAAUAUAAAAAAAUCGGUUGUUGACCAUCCGUAACCGACUUUACAGAUUUUUUCAGAAUUUGACGUGAAAAUGUCAUAAAAAAAUAUAGAUGAAAAUUGCUACUUUAUAUAUUUUUUUUUUCGAUAAAUUAACAUAUAUUUAUUACACUCGUUUAUUCAAAUGCGUCAUAAGCUAAAACCAAAACGCCAAACGCUUAGGCUGAUCGUGCCUCUCUAUCGCUUGUUCCGCGCUCUCGCUUGCGCAACCGUUCAGGUGGAACGUGACAUUGAGUCAUGUUUUUCCGUGCGUGCAGACGGCGUUCAUGGUUUUAUAAGACCCUAUUACGUCAAGGAAUAUGUUAGUUGAAUUACAAUAGUAUAUUUCAUUACGAGUGCGGAAAGCUUGUCAUUGCAAAGAGUUCAAAUCGGAACAAGUUGCAAUGAUGGUUCCGCACGUGUACUGAACGACUAUUUUUAAUACAGUUGCGAAAAAAUUAAGCAAUUUAAUAAAAUAUUAAAACAAAAUAACCUCAACUAACUAAUCAGUUAUUUCUUAUAAAAGGUAUAAUUCACAUAUUCAUCGAAAUUACAGUUUUUUUACUAACUGGGGAAGUUUUAGGUUGCAUAUUUACUGUUUGAGACAAACUAUUAUUAAUUUUGUAUGAUUGUUCAUGUGUAUUUAUCUCCUCUCAACCUCUAUGAAUUUUUUUUGUAAAAACUUCGUGGUUGUUUUUUUUCUUUUUAAUAGACAUUAUUUUGACAGUUGGGAAAGAGAACGCACGAGUGCGGAAAAGGUAAAGAAAAAGCACGAGUGUGUAAUAGCUCACAUCCCGAACGCUAUACGUCCCUGCAAUACGACACUUUUUGAGCAACUGUAUUAAAAAUUACAAAGCAUUUUCGAUGAUUAGUAUCUUUACGGGUCCCGCCUGUUUGGGAGAAAGUUCUAUAGGCAUUAGUUAUUAAUUGUAUACUUUAGCAGAUAGAUUUACGCUGAUGUUCCGGAUGGACGUAAGUCAUAAGCUGAUUGCUCUUGCUCGCCUUGUAAUUUAUAACUACAACUAAAGUUCGACGAAUAAACGGAUGAUUUAUGACUCCACAUUUCAGUUAGCGGGUAAGAUUGCGGUUUAAUCUCGUUUGCAGAGCCUUCUUGCGUAGAAAAGUGUCCUCACCGUACGCAGUAUCGCUGGAAGCUUUUAUUGUUUCUAUUGGUACAGCUUCGUAUGCUAUAAGCUUACUUAUUUUUAAGCUGUUAAAUAGGUGCUCUGAGAAUGUUUGAACAGAGACUGACAAUUUUUUCCAGUUUUCGAUAAAGCAUCUACUUGUGUCACUUGUUUGACCUAACCUAUUCAACUGAAUCAUGUGCUUUUAUUUGUUAAGUAAAAUUCGUGUUCAUUUUGUGUUUUGUGUGUAUAUUUUAGGUGUACGAAAUGUUUAUUGUUUAAAUUCAAUUUUAUAUUGAAUAGUUAUUACUAAGUAAAUGUAUUCAAAUGUAUAUAGUAUGUUUUAAGAUUCUUUCUCCAAAUAAUCACCUAUGUGAAUAUACACUUGUAUGAAUAAAUAUCUUCAGAAUUA
Pieris napi is the source of this 10455-nucleotide long non-coding RNA. RefSeq lists it as uncharacterized. The transcript has 7 exons. Lineage: Eukaryota; Metazoa; Arthropoda; Insecta; Lepidoptera; Pieridae. The record is from RefSeq and is a predicted model, not a curated record.